GAUGAACGCUGGCGGCAUGCCUAAUACAUGCAAGUCGAGCGGUAACAGGAGAAAGCUUGCUUUCUCGCUGACGAGCGGCGGACGGGUGAGUAAUGUAUGGGGAUCUGCCCGAUAGAGGGGGAUAACUACUGGAAACGGUAGCUAAUACCGCAUGACGUCUACGGACCAAAGCAGGGGCUCUUCGGACCUUGCGCUAUCGGGUGAACCCAUAUGGGAUUAGCUAGUAGGUGAGGUAAUGGCUCACCUAGGCGACGAUCUCUAGCUGGUCUGAGAGGAUGAUCAGCCACACUGGGACUGAGACACGGCCCAG
RNAcentral lists this ribosomal RNA (310 nucleotides) under uncultured bacterium. Its description in RNAcentral is "bacterial SSU rRNA". It matches the Rfam family "Bacterial small subunit ribosomal RNA", at positions 28 to 334 of the family's 1533-position model. The record is from RNAcentral.